RNAcentral lists this long non-coding RNA (1138 nucleotides) under Mytilus galloprovincialis (Mediterranean mussel). Lineage: Eukaryota; Metazoa; Mollusca; Bivalvia; Mytilida; Mytilidae. The record is from RNAcentral.
GCAUAAACUCUUUGAGGAUAUAUUUAGGUUGCCUGUUGCAAGGCAAAAUUUCUUCCACUAUUAUUAACAAUUUUUUUUUUAUGUUUUGAUUGAUAUGCCAAAAUUCCUUCUCUUUUUGUCCUGAAUAAGCCACUUACCGGAACCUAACUUUUGUUUUUCUUGCUAAUUCAUGAUCUUUGUUCUAAUCCUGUGAGUGCAUCCAAUGUAUUCAUUUGAUAAUAAGUAAUCAAUAAUCUGUCAGGUUAUUUUUUACACCAACUUUGCUGAAUUUACAGUCAUGGUUAUUUUAAAAACAAAAAAAAAAUAAUUAUGGUGCCAUUAUAGAUAUUGUUUUAGAUCACAGCCAUGCUCACCAAUAGUGAAUGUGAUAUCUGCUAGUACACCACAAAUUGUGGCAAACUCACUUGCACUUAAGUGAUUUUUUUUUUUUUUUGAGAAAUGGAUAAAAGAAUGUGGCAUAUAAUAUUUUAUAUAAGAUGUUAUAUUUUUUAUAACUGUUUUUUUUUUUUAUGUCAUGUGAUAUUUUUUAUAUCCCCAUCCAGUGAAGUGGGGGAUAUGUAUUUAUCAUUGUUUGUGUUUGUUUGUGUUUAUCUGUUUUCUGUUUGUUGUUUGCACUCUAAAUCCACAACUCCUCUAAAAACAGCUAUUUACAGAAUAUCUUCUGAGACCUAAUGAGUCUAUGCUUCCUUACUUUUCUAUACAUAUGAAAUUUUGGGUUUCUCGUAACAAAGCAUGGACUUUCCCAUAUACUGAUGUCAAUAUGCAUCUUAAAUUGUGAGGGGAACAUUCUUUGAAUCUUAAUUACAAAAUGCAACUUAUUUCAUAUUUUGAUCUGAAAUACAUUUAUUUUUAGAUUGAACUUCACAUCUAUAUGAAUAGGGUGAGACAUCUUGUAUUGGCAAUUCCUCUCAGGCAUUUGCAGGAUUGCUAACUUUGCUCUUAUAAUUCAGUAUAUAAAAGUAUUUGGAGUUGUGGAUAUAUUAACUUUAGCUCGACUUAAAGUUUUUCUACUUAUACAUUUAAUUUAUUUGUUAUAAAUUUGAUAUUUACACUAAAACUAUUUAAUGAUUAAAAGACUUUAUUUUGAUAUUGUUAUAUUUGUUUUUUUUUUGGUGAUACCCCUUCAAGCUACAGACUU